This 253-nucleotide ribosomal RNA is filed under the name uncultured bacterium. RNAcentral's name for it is "partial 16S ribosomal RNA". It matches the Rfam family "Bacterial small subunit ribosomal RNA", at positions 524 to 776 of the family's 1533-position model. The record is from RNAcentral.
UACGAAGGGGGGCUAGCGUUGUUCGGAUUUACUGGGCGUAAAGCGCACGUAGGCGGAUCUUUAAGUCAGAGGUGAAAUCCCAAGGCUCAACCUUGGAACUGCCUUUGAUACUGGAGAUCUUGAGUUCGGGAGAGGUGAGUGGAACUGCGAGUGUAGAGGUGAAAUUCGUAGAUAUUCGCAAGAACACCAGUGGCGAAGGCGGCUCACUGGCCCGAUACUGACGUGAGGCACGAAAGCGUGGGGAGCAAACAGG